Molecule: transfer RNA, 71 nt
Filed under: Pristimantis aniptopalmatus
Lineage: Eukaryota; Metazoa; Chordata; Amphibia; Anura; Strabomantidae
Also listed under: 1 other name
Description: tRNA-Val
Rfam family: tRNA
About the family: Transfer RNA (tRNA) molecules are approximately 80 nucleotides in length. Their secondary structure includes four short double-helical elements and three loops (D, anti-codon, and T loops).
Source: RNAcentral
CAGAGUAUAGCUUAAAUUAAAGCCCCUCGCUUACACCGAAUUAAUGUCCGUUAGACCCGAACUAUUCUGAG